GAAAUGCGAUAAGUAAUGUGAAUUGAAGAAUUCAGUGAAUCAUCGAAUCUUUGAACGCACCUUGCGCUCCUUGGUAUUCCUUGGAGCAUGCCUGUUUGAGUAUCAUGAAAUCUUCAAAGUAAAUCUUUUGUUAACUCAAUUGGUUUCUACUUUGGUAUUGGAGGUCUUUGCAGCUUCACACCUGCUCCUCUUUGUUCAUUAGCUGGAUCUCAGUGUUAUGCUUGGUUCCACUCGGCGUGAUAAGUUAUCUAUCGCUGAGGACACUGUAAAAGGUGGCAAAGGUAAAUGCAGAUGAACCGCUUCUAAUAGUCCAUUGACUUGGACAAUACUUUUAUGAUCUGAUCUCAAAUCAGGUAGGACUACCCGCUGAACUUAAGC
RNAcentral lists this unclassified non-coding RNA (378 nucleotides) under plant metagenome. RNAcentral describes it as "partial contains 5.8S ribosomal RNA, internal transcribed spacer 2, and large subunit ribosomal RNA". The stretch from base 1 to 105 matches the Rfam family "5.8S ribosomal RNA", at positions 50 to 154 of the family's 154-position model. The record is from RNAcentral.